This 502-nucleotide long non-coding RNA is filed under the name Androctonus crassicauda. Lineage: Eukaryota; Metazoa; Arthropoda; Arachnida; Scorpiones; Buthidae. The record is from RNAcentral.
GUCGUUUUUCUUUCUUUUGUAUGGUAAGAAAGAAAAUAGAAAAUAUUUUUUUUCUUUUUUUUUCUUACCGUACAAAAAAAAAUAUUAGUAACAAUAAAUUUGAAUGAAUUAUACCAUAGUCUUUUUGGAAGUCUACUUUUGUUAAAACUAUAAGCCAAAUGAGAUAUUGUUUAUUAAAAACAGUUUUCAGUUAUCUACAUAGCCUGCUUCAAUUGAAACACAGACCAAACAAGUAUCUCUGUAUUCCUCCUCUUCUGGCCAAAUCAGAAUUGGUGACUAGCUCCAUAAAACAACAAAACUGCAGGCAGAAGAUUAUCUUUCCAUACAUCCAAAAAACAGAAAUGAAAAGAUUGAAAGAAGAAAGGAAAAGAUUUAGAGUAUUUGUUAUAUUUUAUAAGAAGAGUUUGUUGAGAAAAUGCAACAAACUAUUCUUAUAAAAUAUAACAUAAAUAAUGUCAAACUAUUAUAUUUUAGGCACAAUUAAUAAUAUAAAAUAUAGCAC